Saimiri boliviensis boliviensis (Bolivian squirrel monkey) is the source of this 104-nucleotide small nuclear RNA. The record is from RefSeq and is a predicted model, not a curated record. Lineage: Eukaryota; Metazoa; Chordata; Mammalia; Primates; Cebidae.
GUGCUCCCUUUGGCAGCACAUAUACUAAAACUGAAACAAUACAGAGAUUAGCAUGGCCCCUGCACAAGGAUGACACGAAAAUUCAUGAAGUGUUUCAUACAAAA